This 468-nucleotide ribosomal RNA is filed under the name uncultured bacterium. RNAcentral's name for it is "partial 16S ribosomal RNA". It matches the Rfam family "Bacterial small subunit ribosomal RNA", at positions 28 to 507 of the family's 1533-position model. The record is from RNAcentral.
GACGAACGCUGGCGGCGUGCUUAACACAUGCAAGUCGAACGGAAAGGCCCUGCUUUUGUGGGGUGUUCGAGUGGCGAACGGGUGAGUAACACGUGAGUAACCUGCCCUUGACUUUGGGAUAACUUCAGGAAACUGGGGCUAUUACCGGAUAGGAGCUCCUGCUGCACGGUGGGGGUUGGAAAGUUUCGGCGGUUGGGGAUGGGCUCGCGGCUUAUCAGCCUGUUGGUGAGGUAGUGGCUUACCAAGGCUUUGACGGGUAGCCUGCCUGAGAGGGUGACCGGCCACAUUGGGACUGAGAUACGGCCCAGACUCGUACGGGAGGCAGCAGUGGGGAAUAUUGCACAAUGGGCGGAAGCCUGAUGCAGCAACGCCGCGUGCGGGAUGACGGCCUUCGGGUUGUAAACCGCUUUCGCCUGUGACGAAGCGUGAGUGACGGUAAUGGGUAAAGAAGCACCGGCUAACUACGUG